Molecule: ribosomal RNA, 387 nt
Filed under: uncultured bacterium
Lineage: Bacteria
Description: bacterial SSU rRNA
Rfam family: Bacterial small subunit ribosomal RNA
Source: RNAcentral
GACGAACGCUGGCGGCGUGCUUAACACAUGCAAGUCGAACGGAAAGGCCCUGCUUUUGUGGGGUGCUCGAGUGGCGAACGGUGAGUAACACGUGAGUAACCUGCCCUUGACUUUGGGAUAACUUCAGGAAACUGGGGCUAAUACCGGAUAGGAGCUCCUGCUGCAUGGUGGGGUUGGAAAGUUUCGGCGGUUGGGGAUGGACUCGCGGCUUAUCAGCUUGCUGGUGGGGUAGUGGCUUACCAAGGCUUUGACGGGUAGCCGGCCUGAGAGGGUGACCGGCCACAUUGGACUGAGAUACGGCCCAGACUCCUACGGGAGGCAGCAGUGGGGAAUAUUGCACAAUGGGCGGAAGCCUGAUGCAGCAACGCCGCGUGCGGGAUGACGGCC